This 253-nucleotide ribosomal RNA is filed under the name uncultured bacterium. RNAcentral's name for it is "partial 16S ribosomal RNA". It matches the Rfam family "Bacterial small subunit ribosomal RNA", at positions 524 to 776 of the family's 1533-position model. The record is from RNAcentral.
UACGUAGGGUGCGAGCGUUGUCCGGAAUUAUUGGGCGUAAAGAGCUCGUAGGCGGCCUGUCGCGUCGGAUGUGAAAGCCCGGGGCUCAACCCCGGGUCUGCAUUCGAUACGGGCAGGCUAGAGUUCGGUAGGGGAGAUCGGAAUUCCUGGUGUAGCGGUGAAAUGCGCAGAUAUCAGGAGGAACACCGGUGGCGAAGGCGGAUCUCUGGGCCGAUACUGACGCUGAGGAGCGAAAGCGUGGGGAGCAAACAGG